GACGAACGCUGGCGGCGUGCCUAAUACAUGCAAGUAGAACGCUGAAGGAGGAGCUUGCUUCUCUGGAUGAGUUGCGAACGGGUGAGUAACGCGUAGGUAACCUGCCUGGUAGCGGGGGAUAACUAUUGGAAACGAUAGCUAAUACCGCAUACUAGCAGUUGUUGCAUGAUAACUGUUUGAAAGGUGCAAUUGCACCACUACCAGAUGGACCUGCGUUGUCUUAGCUAGUUGGUGGGGUAACGGCUCACCAAGGCGACGGUACAUAGCCGACCUGAGAGGGUGAUCGACCAACCUGGGACUGAGACACGGCCCAGACGCCUAAGGGGAGGAGCAGAAGGGAAUCUUCGGAAAUGGACGGAAGUCUGAACAAGAAACGCCGCGGGAGUGAAGAAGGAUCUCGGGUCGUGAAGCUCUGUUUUAAGAGAAGAACGAGAGUGAGAGUGGAAAGUUCACACUGUGACGGUAUCGUAACAGAAAGGGACGGCUAACUACGUG
This 495-nucleotide ribosomal RNA is filed under the name uncultured bacterium. RNAcentral describes it as "partial 16S ribosomal RNA". It matches the Rfam family "Bacterial small subunit ribosomal RNA", at positions 28 to 507 of the family's 1533-position model. The record is from RNAcentral.